CUCGACCUUAACCGAAGCGUUCGGGUCCGGCUGUCACAUUCGUGGCGUACCGAAUGCUCGUCUCUCGUGGCGGCGACGGCGGCGGCGUAACGCGUUAAUGAAAAUGGCAACGCGUCGCGACGCCAUGUGGCAGCCUCAACGGAAUACGUACGGCCGCAAAUUGCGCUGCUUUAUCAAUCUGAAAUAACAUCGGCGCGGAAUAAUUAGCGACGACGCGAAACUUACGAGGACUUCAUUGACCAAUGGAAGGAUCAUGUUACGCUGGCUGACAUAUAGGCGGAUGUAUAUCUGAGAGAGAGAAAGAGAGAGAGAGAGAGAGAGAGAGAGAGAGAGAGAGAGAGAGAAAUAGUGUUCAAGAGAUUACAGAGAUUUCAUCUUGAUAAGCAACAUAUUUUCAGUUCGCAAGCAGAGGAUAGCGAAAGAAUUAAUUCGCAAAGCAAAUCACAUAGCACAUGCAGCAAUUUAGAAAUACACAGGGAUUCUUCAAAAUAGUUCAAUGAAAAAUAUCUCUGAAAAAAAACAGUGCAUUUAGUCUGUUAAGUCUGCUGCAAAAUUGUGUUAAUAAAAGAAUAUUGUGAUGAAGAAAUAUAUUU
Long non-coding RNA from Trachymyrmex septentrionalis, 593 nucleotides. RefSeq lists it as uncharacterized. The record is from RefSeq and is a predicted model, not a curated record. Lineage: Eukaryota; Metazoa; Arthropoda; Insecta; Hymenoptera; Formicidae. The transcript has 3 exons.